Molecule: ribosomal RNA, 392 nt
Filed under: uncultured bacterium
Lineage: Bacteria
Description: bacterial SSU rRNA
Rfam family: Bacterial small subunit ribosomal RNA
Source: RNAcentral
GACGAACGCUGGCGGCGCGCCUAACACAUGCAAGUCGAACGAGCGAGAGAGAGCUUGCUUUCUCGAGCGAGUGGCGAACGGGUGAGUAACGCGUGAGGAACCUGCCUCAAAGAGGGGGACAACAGUUGGAAACGACUGCUAAUACCGCAUAAGCCCACGGGUCGGCAUCGACCAGAGGGAAAAGGAGCAAUCCGCUUUGAGAUGGCCUCGCGUCCGAUUAGCUAGUUGGUGAGGUAAUGGCCCACCAAGGCGACGAUCGGUAGCCGGACUGAGAGGUUGAACGGCCACAUUGGGACUGAGACACGGCCCAGACUCCUACGGGAGGCAGCAGUGGGGAAUAUUGCACAAUGGGGGAAACCCUGAUGCAGCGACGCCGCGUGGAGGAAGAAGGU